RNAcentral lists this ribosomal RNA (498 nucleotides) under uncultured bacterium. RNAcentral describes it as "partial 16S ribosomal RNA". It matches the Rfam family "Bacterial small subunit ribosomal RNA", at positions 28 to 507 of the family's 1533-position model. The record is from RNAcentral.
GACGAACGCUGGCGGCGUGCCUAAUACAUGCCAGUCGAACGAGAGCGACCGGUGCUUGCACUGGUCAAUCUAGUGGCGAACGGGUGAGUAACACGUGGGUAACCUGCCCAUCAGAGGGGGAUAACAUCCGGAAACGGAUGCUAAAACCGCAUAGGUCUUCGAACCGCAUGGUUUGAAGAGGAAAAGAGGCGCAAGCUUCUGCUGAUGGAUGGACCCGCGGUGCAUUAGCUAGUUGGUGAGGUAACGGCUCACCAAGGCCGUGAUGCAUAGCCGACCUGAGAGGGUGAUCGGCCACAUUGGGACUGAGACACGGCCCAAACUCCUACGGGAGGCAGCAGUAGGGAAUCUUCCGCAAUGGACGCAAGUCUGACGGAGCAACGCCGCGUGAGUGAAGAAGGUUUUCGGAUCGUAAAACUCUGUUGUUAGAGAGGAACAAGUGCUAGAGUAACUGUUAGCGCCUUGACGGUAUCUAACCAGAAAGCCACGGCUAACUACGUG